Salvelinus sp. IW2-2015 is the source of this 108-nucleotide non-coding RNA. NCBI's taxonomy places the organism in Eukaryota, Metazoa, Chordata, Actinopteri, Salmoniformes, Salmonidae. The record is from RefSeq and is a predicted model, not a curated record.
GGGUAUGGUGUGAAGGAAGCUGAUGGGAGGUAUUAGUUGGAGAGGCUGGUUGUUGUUGAUAGAUGAGGGUAAUGGUGUGAAGGAAGCUGAUGGGAGGUAUUAGUUGGA